CUCACACAGGAGAAUAUGUGUGUAGGGCUGGGAGAGGAGACCCAGUCUAUGACACACUCUACAGUGAACCUCAGUUUCUCUGGUCAGGAGAUCUGCAGCCUUCAGUGUCUCUCAGAAUAAGUCCCAACACAACACAACACUUUACAUCAAAGUCUCUCUCACUGAGCUGUGAGGAGAAGGGGAACUCUACUGGAUGGAGACUGAUGAGCUACAGAGAGAGAGGAGUGAAGUCAGGGUGUGUCUCUAACUGGGAAUCAAUAACAGGGUCCACAUGUACCAUCAGCUACACAUACACAUUGUCCAGUGGAGUGUUCUGGUGUGAGUCUGGAUCAGGAGAGUACAGUAAUGCUGUCAACAUCACAGUUAAUAAUGGUGAUGUGAUCCUGGAGAGCCCUGCUCAUCCCGUGACUGAAGGAGACUCUGUGACUCUGAGCUGUAAAUACCGAUAAGUCAGCUCAAACUUCAAAGCUGAUUUCUACAAAGAUGGAGUACUCAUCAAGAAUGAGACCACAGGAGAGAUGACCAUCCCUACAGUAUCCAAGUCAGAUGAAGGAUUCUAUAAGUGUAAAUCUGGUCAAGGAGAAUCACCAGGAAGCUGGUUGACAGUGAGAGUCUCUCCAGUCGUAGCUCCUGGAUCCUCUACAUCAGUCCUAGUAGGAGUGGUUGUGGGUCUGGUUGUUGCUGGUGUUCUACUGGUCAUUCUCCUGGUCCUGCUGUGGAGAAAUCAAAACAACAAAGGUUCCUGUUUCAUCAGAAUAUUCUGGUGAGUACACCUGUCUCUCAACUAUA
Molecule: long non-coding RNA, 789 nt
Organism: Coregonus clupeaformis (lake whitefish)
Lineage: Eukaryota; Metazoa; Chordata; Actinopteri; Salmoniformes; Salmonidae
Exons: 5
Source: RefSeq, a predicted model, not a curated record